CUGUUACUUCACAGCUGUACAACUGUAUCAUUUGCUAUUGAUGUAUUUGUCUGUAAACCUUUUUAUCAGCAUGUUUUUUUUCAGAAUAUAGCAUAUAUAACCUAUAUAUAUAUAUAAUAAGUACGUUUAAACAAGUGACAACUCUAUAACAGAUCCAUCCGUUGGAUCAUUAGUGAAGGUGAUACACAGCUGAAAACACAUACUGAAUUCAUAAUUACUCUAAAUAUCAAGACAACAAUGUUAAAUCUGCAAAUGUUUGGAAGCAAAUUUGUGUUCUUCCCCUGUUGGGAUUCGAACUCGUGCUAUUGGGAUAUCGAGACAACACUGCCAUCACUGUAUCUAGCGCUCUAGACUACUCAGCCAUAUAUAUAUACAUAUUAUAGACAAACAGCAAUCUAUGGUGGUAUUUUAUUUUAACCUUGAUGAUUUGUGCAUCCUAGGCGAAAUGGAUUUAAAUCCAAAACAUCAGAUUGUUUUUGUUCAGUAAAAUGAAGAUAGAAAUUGAAAAUAAGAAACAGACCAACUAUACCAACAAUAAAUUCUGUGGCUUUGUGGUGAUUACUGAUCAUUUUGUCUAGUUUACUUCUGUAUCCUCAGACAAUACUAUUCCAAUGUUUAUCUUGAACAAUAAUUUAUUGGCAUUAAAUCUUUUUAUUGAAGAUUUAUAUAUGCAAUAUAUAUAUGCAAAGGAGAAAUGGUGGAGCGGUGAAUAAUUAAUUUGAAUUUUCAUUUUGGACAUUGACAAUAUUCACAUUAAAAUGUGCUAUUACAGGUACAAAGUCCUUUUAUAUCCCAAA
This 797-nucleotide long non-coding RNA is filed under the name Mytilus galloprovincialis (Mediterranean mussel). Lineage: Eukaryota; Metazoa; Mollusca; Bivalvia; Mytilida; Mytilidae. The record is from RNAcentral.